Molecule: transfer RNA, 75 nt
Filed under: Thermoprotei archaeon
Lineage: Archaea; Thermoproteati; Thermoproteota; Thermoprotei
Also listed under: 1 other name
Description: tRNA-Met
Rfam family: tRNA
About the family: Transfer RNA (tRNA) molecules are approximately 80 nucleotides in length. Their secondary structure includes four short double-helical elements and three loops (D, anti-codon, and T loops). Further hydrogen bonds mediate the characteristic L-shaped molecular structure. tRNAs have two regions of fundamental functional importance: the anti-codon, which is responsible for specific mRNA codon recognition, and the 3' end, to which the tRNAs corresponding amino acid is attached (by aminoacyl-tRNA synthetases). tRNAs cope with the degeneracy of the genetic code in two manners: having more than one tRNA (with a specific anti-codon) for a particular amino acid; and 'wobble' base-pairing, i.e. permitting non-standard base-pairing at the 3rd anti-codon position.
Source: RNAcentral
GCCGCGGUAGCUCAGCCUGGCCGGAGCGCCGGACUCAUAAUCCGGAGGUCCCGGGUUCGAAUCCCGGCCGCGGCA